GACGAACGCUGGCGGCGUGCUUAACACAUGCAAGUCGAACGGAAAGGCCUGCUUUCCCUUGUGGAUUGCGGGUACUCGAGUGGCGAACGGGUGAGUAACACGUGAGUGAUCUGCCCCCAACUUGGGUAUAAGCCUGGGAAACUGGGUCUAAUUCCCGAUAGGACUGCAGGGUGGUGCCUGUGGUGGAAAACGAUUUUCUAGUGGUUGGGGAUGAGCUCGCGGCCUAUCAGCUUGUUGGUGGGGUAAUGGCCUACCAAGGCGGCGACGGGUAGCCGGCCUGAGAGGGUGGACGGCCACAUUGGGACUGAGAUACGGCCCAGACUCCUACGGGAGGCAGCAGUGGUGAAUAUUGCACAAUGGGCGGAAGCCUGAUGCAGCGACGCCGCGUGGGGGAUGACGGCCUUCGGGUUGUAAACUCCUUUCGACCGCGAGGAAGCCACCUGGUUGGAAGGGUGGUGACGGUAGUGGUAGAAGAAGCACCGGCUAACUACGUG
This 494-nucleotide ribosomal RNA is filed under the name uncultured bacterium. RNAcentral describes it as "partial 16S ribosomal RNA". It matches the Rfam family "Bacterial small subunit ribosomal RNA", at positions 28 to 507 of the family's 1533-position model. The record is from RNAcentral.